GCUGCCAUUAGAAUAUAACUCACAACUUCAGCUAGACUGGCAGUAUUAUUAAUUUUUGUGGAUGUGACAUUGAGUAGAAGAGAAAAACAGCCACACCUGUGUCCACACCUACAGAGUAUGUGUAGUACCAACUUGACACUGCAAUAUUCUUGAAAAUCCUGUGGGCCCACAGGAUGGAAGCAUCAGAGCAUGGGACUGGUAUCUCAGUGGAACAUGAGACACAUGACCUGUAACAAGAAGGCUUUGUCCUCUGUGCAACAGCAGCCAGAUCAGUGAGUAACUGAAGAAGGCAACCUGCUGAUUGUAACACAGCAUGGGAAACAACAUGUUGAGAUUGCACCUGCGUCUUGUGAAAGUCACAUUGCACCUCUCAGGAGUAAUGCUGAAUCCUUAAGGUGGCACUGUGUGUACCAGCACUGAUGUUCUGCAAGGACUAGAAGAAACUUCUGAGGGAAGCACACUGGUCAAGGCUGCCAUGUAUGGAACUGUGAGUAUGAAGACAGACCAGGGCACCAGACCACCUGCAAUAGCAAUGAUCAGUUCCAUGGAGAAAGCUUGGAGAAAGCUGUUCCAUAGAAACUUUUAGAUGAACACUCAAUGAAAAGAAAGUCAUCUUGCUCCUCAGUGUGACUGCAUGAAAAUCUACUGGGACAAGUUCACAUGAAUAACUGGCACAGAGGCAAGCAUGGAUCGUAAUUUUAUGUGUUCUUAAGUGGCUUAGCUUUUCUGGUGCAACUUUGUUUUGGGAUCAGUGCUCAGUAAUAUGUAUAGGUCUCUACAUUUGCUUGAAAAGCCUCAUGUUACAUUACUGAAACAACAGGCAAAAGACUCACUGACAAUAGCUUUAUUCAACCUUGCUGAAAAUGUUAAGUCCUGUAACAAUAAAGGCUUAACUGUUCUACAGGCUGGCCAACUGGUCUUUGCAUACUACAGGAAACAAUUGCAGGCAUUUAGCAUUUCAGGACAUAUAAGCCAGAACUACUCAGGGAUGCAGGAUGUGAAUAUAUACCCCUGGUGCUUCCACGCUGUUUGUGGAAUGGCAGAAAAGCACAUUCCAUUAGUCCAUGUUGGCAACCUCAUCUUGGAAAAUUACAUAUAUUGCAG
Molecule: long non-coding RNA, 1104 nt
Filed under: Gallus gallus (chicken)
Lineage: Eukaryota; Metazoa; Chordata; Aves; Galliformes; Phasianidae
Description: lncRNA (ENSGALG00010013840.1)
Source: RNAcentral